GCGCACGCUGGCGGCAGGCUUCACCCCUGCCAGUCGAGCGGGCAUCCUUGUGGUGUCAGCGGCAGACGGGUGCGUAACGCGUGGGAACGUGCCCUUCGGUUCGGAAUAACUCAGGGAAACUUGAGCUAAUACCGGAUACGUGCGAGAGCAGAAAGGUUUAUCUGCCGAAGGAUCGGCCCGCGUCUGAUUAGCUAGUUGGUGAGGUUACGGCUCACCAAGGCGACGAUCAGUAGCUGGUCUGAGAGGAUGAUCAGCCACACUGGGACUGAGACACGGCCCAGACUCCUACGGGAGGCAGCAGUGGGGAAUAUUGGACAAUGGGGGCAACCCUGAUCCAGCCAUGCCGCGUGAGUGAUGACGGCCUUAGGGUUGUAAAGCUCUUUUCUCCGGGACGAUAAUGACGGUACCGGAGGAAUAAGCCCCGGCUAACUUCGUG
RNAcentral lists this ribosomal RNA (436 nucleotides) under uncultured bacterium. RNAcentral's name for it is "partial 16S ribosomal RNA". It matches the Rfam family "Bacterial small subunit ribosomal RNA", at positions 29 to 507 of the family's 1533-position model. The record is from RNAcentral.